RNAcentral lists this ribozyme (66 nucleotides) under synthetic construct. The stretch from base 17 to 66 matches the Rfam family "Hairpin ribozyme". The record is from RNAcentral.
UGGCAGUCCUGUUGAAAAACAGAGAAGUCAACCAGAGAAACACACGUUGUGGUAUAUUACCUGGUA